AUCUGCCCAAAAUGGAGCGGAGACCAGGCUCCUCCCCACCUGCCGGCCCUGGUUCCCAGCCCCUAACUCGGCCGGGCCUGCAGAUAGUGCCUCCGUUCGCCCUUCCAGUCAGCUGCGGCCUAACCACCUAACGACAGACAGGCUGAUUUCUAACAUCACAGGUUCGCGUCUAAGAAUGUCGACCCCGAACACAGAACAGGCGGGCCCAUAAGCCCACUGCUCUUUGCUGCGGUGCAGCACUCAGGAGACUGAUAUCGCUCAAGACAUCACCUGUUUAUCAAGUUAAAACUUACUGGAAAUGUUUACUCAUCCAGUGGGACACUCGUGGAGCAAGUUACCUGCAAUCCAAGGUUUCACUGUACGUGAGUUGCAAAUAUUUUCUCCUACUCUGACUUGUGCUCUGUCUAAGCAGUCUUUUGAAGAUUAGAAGCUGUUCAUUUUGGUGAAGUCCAAAUAAUUAAUUUUUUAUUUUAUGGAUUAUCCUUUUGGUGUCUCACCUAAGAAAUCUUUGCUCACUCUCAUGUCAUAAAUAUUUCCUCCUAUGUUUUCUGCUAGAAAUAUUACAAUUUUUUGUCUAUGUUUAGGCCUAAGAGGACACCGGGGGCCUGGCAGGCAACAGGGCCCUGGCCAUCAGCUCCAACAGGGCGCCCCGCUCAUGCACAGACCAGCUACAGUGCCCCAGAGAGAACCCCCGGGGUGGGCAGGACCGGGCGCUCCCAGACAGGCACUCACACAGUGCGCUAUCUCAGCCCAAGCCCCCUUCCCUGAACCUCAGAGCCUGAACUCCUCGGAAAGGUGUCUUCCACGGUUCGGCACUAAGGGGAAACAGCCACGUUGCCCCUUAAGAUCAGUGAAACUGCUCACACUCUUCAAACCAGAACUUCAGAGCGCUCACUCUGCCAGACCCGAGCUGCCCUCCGACGACAGAUAUUAAAACAGUAGAGGCAAAGCCCUUCGGAGCACACAGAGACAGAGAGGUGACGCGCGGUCCGGCCUUCGGGAUGAACUUCCAGGGUGAGAAGCAGCCACGGAGCCUGAGACCCCAGGGGGUGCGCUGAAUGGUACUGGAUUGAUCCGGGCUGCGCUGCAGAAAGGAGGAGGGAAUCCCUCUUCAUCCGUCAGAGGCCAGAGACCUGCAUCAGCCACUCUCUACACACUAAAAUGCCACACUUCUCCGACACGUGGAUACAACCUAGGACGCCCCAGGGUGGCCACGCAGCCCUGGGAGGAGGAGAGCCCUUGGGACACUUGGGCAGGAAGGAUGAGCCCCCAUCACGUUCAGCGGGGAGAGACAUAGGGGCCCUGUGGUUAGUUAGCAAGCUUCAAGGAAAGAUAUUUGAACGCAGAUACUGGAAACAGAACUCCGAAGAGGCCGCAGUAUUUGUUUAGUGAAAUGUUAGGGAUGCGUGAGAGCCUCUGAGUGCUUGUUGGUUCAGAGCUCAGGGCUGAGAGUACGAGGCCGCAUCUGGAUGACGGAAGCUGCCUUCUCCCAAAACAGGGUCGCGGAGGACGAGUCCCGGUGCCUCCCGCUGGCAGGAUGAGGACUCAGAGCAAAGCCGCAGGCCAGGACAGCGUGCAGCACCAGGCUUUAAAGGCUUCCAGGACCUGGAGAUGGACUUCUAGCAAGGUUCCUGCACAAAGAAACCCAACAUGUCAGAGUCGUACUAGACGCUGCGGUAGCUGAGUGCUGGCGGUGACUGAGGCUCACACACGGAAACUACGAUUGGGCUGGGGGGACAGCGUGGGCAAGACCUGAUAGAAGACGCCGUCCGGACGUGGGUCUCAAAGGACAAAGUGCUUCAGCAGGUGAAAAGCGGACAAGGGAAGGUCCAGUGAGUGGAACAGGCCCCCAGGCAGAGUGCAAGUCCUCCACAAGUGCCCCGGGCGCCCUCCAGGGCAUGCCGCCAGUCAGGCCGCAGAGCAAGUCUCAAAAACCUCAAAGACUGCAAUGAUACAAAGUGUACUUCAGGGGAAUACAAGUCAAAAUCUCGAUGAGAUACCACUCUACACACACUGGGAUGCCCGGAAUUCAGAAGGGGGAUCAUUACAAGUGUUACCGAGAACCUGGAGAGCCCUGAACCCUCACACACUGCUGUGUGCAGUAUAAAACCUGCCUGUAAUAUCAGCAGGCAUCGGUACAAAAGGGCAUUUGUGAUGUGUGUAUUUGUAAAUAUACAUACAUAUGCAGAGUCGCCAAAACACGGAUACACGCUUCGGGAAAAGAAACACCGGGAUCAGUAUUUUAACGCCAAAUUUAUUCAGACAUGGUGAGAUGAGUACAAGUCACCUUUGGCCUCCACAGUGACAGGAGGUGCUCAGAGGGGGCCGUGAGCCCCCAGACGCUCAGUGCCCUGAACUGCCGCUCGGGGACCUCGCUCACUGAGAUCGCCGUGUGUGCGUGCAUUUUCACUUUCUUCCCUAAGGGCCGGCAGUGCAGUGGGUUUCCUGCGAUACACGGCAUCCUCUAGGGUCCCUCACACGAGGGUAACACCAUCUGCUGAAAAAACUUCAUAGUUUUCCUUUUCCUGAAGUGUGUAUACAUUUUUUGGUGGACUUUGUAUUUAUUUUUAUUUAUUUGGUACCGGGGAUCAAACUCAGGACCUUGUGUUUGCCAGGCAGGUGCGGUGCCACUGAGCUACAUCCCUGGCCCUGGACUCCAUAUUUCUAAACAAGUUGUGGUUGAUAAAGAUUCUGACAGGAAAUGGAAGAUUAAUAAACACGUUGUAACCAGGCAGGGUGCUGCAUGCCUGUAAUCCCAGCACUCUAGUACAAGGUACCAG
This is a long non-coding RNA of Heterocephalus glaber (naked mole-rat), 2780 nucleotides long. Lineage: Eukaryota; Metazoa; Chordata; Mammalia; Rodentia; Bathyergidae. The record is from Ensembl.